RNAcentral lists this ribosomal RNA (1343 nucleotides) under uncultured bacterium. Its description in RNAcentral is "16S ribosomal RNA". It matches the Rfam family "Bacterial small subunit ribosomal RNA", at positions 28 to 1378 of the family's 1533-position model. The record is from RNAcentral.
GACGAACGCUGGCGGCGUGCUUAACACAUGCAAGUCGAACGGAAAGGCCCUGCUUUUGUGGGGUGCUCGAGUGGCGAACGGGUGAGUAACACGUGAGUAACCUGCCCUUGACUUUGGGAUAACUUCAGGAAACUGGGGCUAAUACCGGAUAGGAGCUCCUGCUGCAUGGUGGGGGUUGGAAAGUUUCGGCGGUUGGGGAUGGACUCGCGGCUUAUCAGCUUGUUGGUGGGGUAGUGGCUUACCAAGGCUUUGACGGGUAGCCGGCCUGAGAGGGUGACCGGCCACAUUGGGACUGAGAUACGGCCCAGACUCCUACGGGAGGCAGCAGUGGGGAAUAUUGCACAAUGGGCGGAAGCCUGAUGCAGCAACGCCGCGUGCGGGAUGACGGCCUUCGGGUUGUAAACCGCUUUCGCCUGUGACGAAGCGUGAGUGACGGUAAUGGGUAAAGAAGCACCGGCUAACUACGUGCCAGCAGCCGCGGUGAUACGUAGGGUGCGAGCGUUGUCCGGAUUUAUUGGGCGUAAAGGGCUCGUAGGUGGUUGAUCGCGUCGGAAGUGUAAUCUUGGGGCUUAACCCUGAGCGUGCUUUCGAUACGGGUUGACUUGAGGAAGGUAGGGGAGAAUGGAAUUCCUGGUGGAGCGGUGGAAUGCGCAGAUAUCAGGAGGAACACCAGUGGCGAAGGCGGUUCUCUGGGCCUUUCCUGACGCUGAGGAGCGAAAGCGUGGGGAGCGAACAGGCUUAGAUACCCUGGUAGUCCACGCUGUAAACGGUGGGUACUAGGUGUGGGGUCCAUUCCACGGGUUCCGUGCCGUAGCUAACGCUUUAAGUACCCCGCCUGGGGAGUACGGCCGCAAGGCUAAAACUCAAAGGAAUUGACGGGGCCCCGCACAAGCGGCGGAGCAUGCGGAUUAAUUCGAUGCAACGCGUAGAACCUUACCUGGGUUUGACAUGGAUCGGGAGUGCUCAGAGAUGGGUGUGCCUCUUUUGGGGUCGGUUCACAGGUGGUGCAUGGCUGUCGUCAGCUCGUGUCGUGAGAUGUUGGGUUAAGUCCCGCAACGAGCGCAACCCUUGUUCACUGUUGCCAGCACGUUAUGGUGGGGACUCAGUGGAGACCGCCGGGGUCAACUCGGAGGAAGGUGGGGAUGACGUCAAGUCAUCAUGUCCCUUAUGUCCAGGGCUUCACGCAUGCUACAAUGGCUGGUACAGAGAGUGGCGAGCCUGUGAGGGUGAGCGAAUCUCGGAAAGCCGGUCUCAGUUCGGAUUGGGGUCUGCAACUCGACCUCAUGAAGUCGGAGUCGCUAGUAAUCGCAGAUCAGCAACGCUGCGGUGAAUACGUUCCCGGG